AGUCGUAACAAGGUUUCUGUAGGUGAACCUGCAGAAGGAUCAUUAGUGAAGAUUUGGGCAGGCCAUACGGACGCCAAAAAGUGUCCCUGGCCGCCUACACCCACUAUACAUCCACAAACCCGUGUGCACUGUCUUGGAGAAAGGCUUCAGAGAAGUUUUUUGUGGCCUCUCUUGGGGUCUUUCUUCGCUACAAACUCGAAUGGUUAGUAUGAACGUGGAACUUGGUUGGACCGUCACUGGCCAACAAACUAUACACAACUUUCGACAACGGAUCUCUUGGUUCUCCCAUCGAUGAAGAACGCAGCGAAACGCGAUAGGUAAUGUGAAUUGCAGAAUUCCGUGAAUCAUCGAAUCUUUGAACGCACCUUGCGCUCUAUGGCAAUCCGUAGAGCAUGCCUGUUUGAGUGCCAUGAAAUCUCCCACCCCAAGCGGUUUUUAAAUGAAACGGCUUGGCGGAUGGGGUCUGGAUGGGUGCCUCUGCCUGCGCUACCUAGCACAGGCUCGCCCGAAAUGCAUGAGCGCCUUGAGACACUUUGCAUCCGCCUCUCUGUUUGGGAGGAGGCGGCCAAGCAGUGUUUUUCUCCUGGCAUGGCAUGAUACGUCAUUUGCUAUGUCGCCUAAAGGAGGAAUGUUUGGUUGUGUCUGCGUGUGCUUCGAACUUGCCUCUGUGGCACAUCCCAAUUUCACUUCUGGUCUCAAAUCAGGUAGGAUCACCCGCUGAACUUAAGCAUAUCAAUAAAGUCG
This 744-nucleotide ribosomal RNA is filed under the name uncultured fungus. RNAcentral describes it as "eukaryotic LSU rRNA". The stretch from base 257 to 410 matches the Rfam family "5.8S ribosomal RNA". Lineage: Eukaryota; Fungi. The record is from RNAcentral.